This 97-nucleotide signal recognition particle RNA is filed under the name Actinomycetes bacterium. RNAcentral's name for it is "signal recognition particle sRNA small type". It matches the Rfam family "Bacterial small signal recognition particle RNA". Rfam says of the family: The signal recognition particle (SRP) is a universally conserved ribonucleoprotein involved in the co-translational targeting of proteins to membranes. Archaeal SRP consists of a 7S RNA and homologues of the eukaryotic SRP19 and SRP54 proteins. Lineage: Bacteria; Bacillati; Actinomycetota; Actinomycetes. The record is from RNAcentral. RNAcentral also lists the same sequence under 1 other name.
CCAGAUCCCUCGUGCGGCAUUACCGUACUGAACUCCCCCAGGGCUGGAAGGCAGCAAGGGUAGGUGCGCUCUAAUGGGUGCACGGGGGGUCCUAAUU